RNAcentral lists this long non-coding RNA (622 nucleotides) under Polistes fuscatus (common paper wasp). RNAcentral describes it as "uncharacterized LOC122514105". Lineage: Eukaryota; Metazoa; Arthropoda; Insecta; Hymenoptera; Vespidae. The record is from RNAcentral.
GGUCGGUUGCCGGGUGUUCUCUGUUGAGCGUGCACGAAGCCAAUUAAGCAGUCGUAAACCUGAUUAGCAGCGGAAGCAGUUUGGACCGAAAGAGGGUAGCAGCAGCAGAUGUAGCUUCCCAUGGUAGUACGAGCAGGGGUUGUUACUCGUCGAAAGGGUUUCCAUCGAAGUUCACGAGUAAGAGAGAAGGUAGUGACAGAAAGAAUGAGAGAGAAGGAGAGGGAAAUUGCAAGAGUACGUAUAUGUGUAUAUUAAAAAGAGAGAUAGGAGAAAAGAGUGUGUUAGUAAGUGACUGGGAGAUAUAGAACGUGUAUGUUAGUAAGUAACAGAAAGAGAGAGAGAGGGAAUAUGUGUGUUAGUAAUUGAUAGAAAGAGUGAGUAUAUGUGUAAUGUAAAAAAAAAAAAGAAUGUUAGUAAGUGACAGAGAAUGGGAGUAUGUGUUAGUAAAUUACAGAGAGAUAUAGAACAUAUAUAAGAGAGAAAAAGAGAGUGAAUGUGUAAUGUAAAAGCAAAGGAAAGAGAGUACGUGUAAAUGUGCAUCUAUGUGCAUAUAUAUGUGUGUUAGUAAGUGGUAGAGAUAUAGAUAGAACGUACGUAAAAGUAAGCGAGUGAAUAUGUAAUG